AAUUAUAAUAGUUUAAAGUCUAAAACUUUUCAUUUUCACUGAAACAAUAUUUAUUUUAUAAAUUUAUAAUUA
RNAcentral lists this transfer RNA (72 nucleotides) under Aoteapsyche colonica. Its description in RNAcentral is "tRNA-Glu". Lineage: Eukaryota; Metazoa; Arthropoda; Insecta; Trichoptera; Hydropsychidae. The record is from RNAcentral.